This 252-nucleotide ribosomal RNA is filed under the name uncultured Bacteroidales bacterium. Its description in RNAcentral is "partial 16S ribosomal RNA". It matches the Rfam family "Bacterial small subunit ribosomal RNA", at positions 524 to 776 of the family's 1533-position model. The record is from RNAcentral. Lineage: Bacteria; Pseudomonadati; Bacteroidota; Bacteroidia; Bacteroidales.
UACGGGGGGUGCAAGCGUUGUCCGGAAUCAUUGGGCGUAAAGAGUUCGUAGGCGGCGAGUUAAGUCAGCGGUAAAAGCCCGGGGCUCAACCCCGGCCCGCCGUUGAAACUGGCUGGCUUGAGUUGGGGAAAGGCAGGCGGAAUGCGCGGUGUAGCGGUGAAAUGCAUAGAUAUCGCGCAGAACCCCGAUUGCGAAGGCAGCCUGCCGGCCCCACACUGACGCUGAGGCACGAAAGCGUGGGUAUCGAACAGG